AUGGGGAUGCGUCUGAUUAGCUUGUUGGCGGGGUAACGGCCCACCAAGGCAACGAUCAGUAGGGGUUCUGAGAGGAAGGUCCCCCACAUUGGAACUGAGACACGGUCCAAACUCCUACGGGAGGCAGCAGUGACGAAUAUUGGUCAAUGGACGAGAGUCUGAACCAGCCAAGUAGCGUGCAGGAUGACGGCCCUAUGGGUUGUAAACUGCUUUUAUAAGGGAAUAAAGUGAGUCUCGUGAGACUUUUUGCAUGUACCUUAUGAAUAAGGACCGGCUAAUUCCGUGCCAGCAGCCGCGGUAAUACGGAAGGUCCGGGCGUUAUCCGGAUUUAUUGGGUUUAAAGGGAGCGUAGGCCGGAGAUUAAGCGUGUUGUGAAAUGUAGAUGCUCAACAUCUGAACUGCAGCGCGAACUGGUUUCCUUGAGUACGCACAAAGUGGGCGGAAUUCGUGGUGUAGCGGUGAAAUGCUUAGAUAUCACGAAGAACUCCGAUUGCGAAGGCAGCUCACUGGAGCGCAACUGACGCUGAAGCUCGAAAGUGCGGGUAUCGAACAGGAUUAGAUACCCUGGUAGUCCGCACGGUAAACGAUGGAUGCCCGCUGUUGGUCUGAAUAGGUCAGCGGCCAAG
Molecule: ribosomal RNA, 626 nt
Filed under: uncultured bacterium
Lineage: Bacteria
Description: bacterial SSU rRNA
Rfam family: Bacterial small subunit ribosomal RNA
Source: RNAcentral